Molecule: long non-coding RNA, 4012 nt
Filed under: Nicotiana tabacum (common tobacco)
Lineage: Eukaryota; Viridiplantae; Streptophyta; Magnoliopsida; Solanales; Solanaceae
Description: long non-coding RNA (NTAB_LNC002465)
Source: RNAcentral
CUAGAAAGCCUAAGACAAUAUAUAACACCCGAAAGCCUACUUAAUUUUUUUUUUAAAUACUUCUAUGUAUAACAAUAAAACUCUUUACACAUCCAAUAUGUUCUUUAAAACACUAAGUGAAGUUCUAAAGAAAGUAUAAGACAUUUUAAAAAUAGAUGUAGGUAAUGAGUUCAACGAAAAAAAGGCUUUCUUUUCCAAGUUCUCUCGGCGCAUGUUAAGCAAACGUGCGCCGUCUUCGCCAUGACUAGUAAGAAAGCUCGUGGAUGUCCUAGAAAGUAGCAAAUUCGUGUAGAUGACAAAAUACUUAAGCUCAACGCCAUGGAAAGGAGCUCAACAAAGUUUAUGGAAACCAUUUCUGGACCAUCGAAGGUGACUACUGGAUCUGUUUCUCUAACACAAAUCUACCAUGGAGAAGCUUCAGGACCAGCUACACAGCAGCAGAAACAAGCAAAUCAGAGUCCAAUCCCUAUGCAUGUUGAUUUACGAGGAAGUAUCACACCCCCUGCAGUUCGAGAAGUUACUGUUCCAUUGAGCAAAGAGUAGGAAGAUACAGCUAAUGCACAAGCUGGAAUUACUGUUCCAUUGGUGAACAAGGGGCAAAACCAAGUUGUUUCCACAGAGUCUACUUAGGCUAAAGUACUCACAGGCAAUAGAUCUGCAGCAAAUGGUAUGACAUUGAAUUAUAUUACUCCUGAUAUUAUAGAAGGAAAUCUAGUAGCUAAGCUUGAAAAGUCAAAAUUGAGCUGGAAAAUCUGAAAUGGAAGAGUGCCUUAAUAGUCUAUGUUUUGGGUGAAAAACCAGGCUACAACUAUAUGAAAAGGUACAUAAAUCAUAUGUGGAACACAGUUGCUAUGCCAGAUUUGUUUUAUUAUGAUGAAGGGUAUUAUAUUGUGAGAUUUCAAACAUUAGAGGAUACAGUGAAUAAUAGACCAAUGAUAAUGAAAUGCUGGUCUCCUUACUUUGAUUUUGCAGCAGAAUUCAUGACAGACAUUCCAUUAUGGGUAAGGUUUCCAAAACUUCCCAUGAAUUGUGGAGUGAGAACUCACUGAGUAGAAUAGCAAGCACAAUAGGGAUUCCUGUGUUUGCAGAUGAGUGUACUACCAAAUAGAUAAGAAUUUCCUAUGCUAGAAUCCUAAUAGAAGUGAAUGUUACAAAGCCUUUUCCAACUAGCAUUCCCGUCAUGAAUGACGAGGGGUGAUUUUUGAGCAAGCAUUUAAAUUUGAUUGGAAACCGGAGUUCUGUGACAAAUGCUUAAAAGCAGGACAUAAUUGUAGUAGAAUUCCAAAGGAAGGUGACAAACAAAUUCCCCAGCCCAGGAAAAGGAAGCCACCACCAGUAAAACAAAUAUGGAGGACUAAGGUGCCAGAAAUAGUUACAACUGAUGAAAUGAGCCAAAAACAAGUGGAAGAAGCUAGCAAGGAAGAUGUGAGUACCUCUAAGCCAACAGAAGAUAAGGAAGAUCAUCAGCAAGAAGAGGAAGCAGUAGAAGUAAGCAUGCAAGUAGAUAAAGGGAAAAUGAAUGCAGUGACUAAUGACACUCCAAUUACCUAUGCCAAAGCUAUAAUGUCUCCAGUGAAAUAAAGAUCUCAAACAUUCCCGAGUGCAGCUGUGAUAGCAACCUUGAAACCACCUAAUAUAGGUGGUCAUUCUCAAUUUUGAUUAUGUCUUGGAUGGAAUGGAACAUAAGGGGUACCAACAAGAGAUACAAACAAAAGGAGUUGGGUAUCUAUAUAAAGGAGAAUAAUAUAAAGCUAUUGGGGUUAGUGGAAACUAGAGUAAAGAAGGAAAAAACAACUCAGAUUUCACAGUUAGUGGCACCUGGUUGGCAAGCUCACUACAAAUAUGAUUAUGCAAUAAAUGGGAGAAUUUGGAUUCUUUGGGAUCCUCAGAGUUAUGCCAUUACAGUUUUAGAAAAAUCUGCUCAAAUAAUUCAUUAUAAAGUUGUAGGCAGACAGAAUACUAUAAAUUAUCUUAUGACAAUAGUGUAUGGAUUUAAUACUACUGAAGCAAGGAAACCUUUAUGGCAACAACUAAAUGUUGAUGCAACUCAGAAUACUGAACCAUGGAUCAUCUGGGGGGACUUUAACUCUAUCUUAAUAAUUCAAGAUAGAAUUUGUGGGAAAUAGUUACAAGAAAUGAAAUACAAGACUUUAAUGAAUGUAUGUAGACUCUGAAUUCGAAUGAAUUGGCUUGGAGAGGAGAUUAUUAUACAUGGUCGAAUAAACAGCAAGGAGCAGAUAGAGUAUAUAGCAGGAUUGAUAGAGCUUUAGGGAAUGAUUAAUGGAUGCAAGCUUAUGAACAUAUGGAAGUAGAAUAUAGACUUCCAUUCAUUUCAGAUCAUGCUCCAAUGGUUAUCUCUAUAAGAAGACUAGUACCAAGUGGCAAGAUUCCUUUUAGAUUUUUUAAUGUUUGGGUAGAACAUCCAAGCUUUAUGUCACUUGUGGAAGGAGUAUGGAAAGAACAAUAUGAUCAUGACCCUACGAAGAAUAUAUGGCAGAAGUUGAAGAUUCUAAGAUCUUUAUUGAAGCAGCUCAACAACAGCGAAUUCAAGGGCAUCACAGAUAAGCUGGAAUCAACAAGGAGUUUACUACAGGCUAUUCAAGCUCAAAUAUCAAAAGGUUAUUCAGGCAAACUAGCUAUUGAGGAAAAACAAGCCUUAGAGAACUUGGAGAAAUGGUCAUUAAUUGAAGAAAGCAUACUGCAACAGAAGGCUCGAGCUAUAUGGAUAAGAUUAGGGGAUGCUAAUUCUAAAUAUUUCUCAGCAGUUAUGAAGGAAAGAAGGCAAAGAAAAGUUAUCACUGAACUACAAGAUAGCUUUGGAAACAAAAUAACUGACCAACAACAUAUACAAGCAAAGAUCAUCAGUUUCUACAAAGCUUUGAUGGGGGCAACAGUUGGGAAUUUACCUGCAGUCAAUAAACAAACAAUGAAGAAUGGGCAAGUUCUUAAUCAUGAACAGCAGAUGAACUUGAUUGCAGAAGUUAUUGAGCAAGAAAUAUAUCAAGGUCUAUGUGCUAUUGGAAAUGAUAAAGCUCUAGGGGUUGAUGGUUACAAUGCAGUGUUUUUCAAGAAAGGAUGGCCAAUUAUAGGUGCUGAAGUUUGCUAAGUAGUUAAAAGAUUUUUUACCACAGGGAAGUUAUAUAGGGCAGUGAAUUGUACAGCUAUCACCAUUCUGCCUAAAAUUCCAAAUCCUACAAGCAUCAGAGAAUACAGACUAAUAGCUUGUUGCAUUGUAUUAUAUAAACUGAUAGCUAAGGUUCCAGCUAAUAGAAUACAAAAAGUCAUUGCAUCCAUCAUAUCAGAGACUCAGGCUGGAUUCAUGCCAGGAAGAAAGGUUGCAAAUAAUGUGAUACUUGCUCAUGAACUAGUCAAAGCUUAUUCUUGGAAGAACAUUUCUCUUAGAUGCCUUAUCAAGUGGAAAUCCAAAAAGUUUAUGACAUAGUAGAUUGGAGAUGCUUGCAUCAAAUGCUAGAUGAACUGGGCUUCCCAACUAAAUUCAUUAACUGGAUCAUGGAAUGUGUGACAACAGUAAAUAUACAGUUCUUGUAAAUGGUGAAACAACAAAGCCUUUUGAUGCAGCUAGAGGACUAAGGCAAGGGGACCCUAUGUCACCUUUCUUAUUUGCCAUAGCCAUGGAGUAUCUCAGCAGGAACUUAAAGACCUUAAAGCAGGAGAAAUCAUACCAUUUCCAUCCUUUGUGUGCAAGGUUGGACUAAACUCAUUUGAGUUUUGUAGAUGACCUUCUGAUUUUUGCAAGAGGAGAUGCAACUUCAGUAAGUUUAAUACAUGACAGAUUCCAGAUUUUUUCAGCAGCUUCAGGACUUAGUGCUAACCUAGCAAAAAGUUUCAUCUAUUAUGGAGGAGUCAGUGUGGAGGCUCAAAAGGAGAUACAAGGAAAGCUGGGGUAUAGUCAGGGGUCACUGCCUUUCAAAUAUUUAGUCAUACCACCUGAUUAUAAGAAGCUAUCAAUCAUGCAAUGGCUGCCACUUAUUAACAAAAUAGUGGCAAGAAU